RNAcentral lists this non-coding RNA (45 nucleotides) under Schistosoma haematobium. Lineage: Eukaryota; Metazoa; Platyhelminthes; Trematoda; Strigeidida; Schistosomatidae. The record is from RNAcentral.
AUCCAGCUGAGGAGUCCCAAAUAGAACGAAACGCACUUCCUGGAU